This 497-nucleotide ribosomal RNA is filed under the name uncultured bacterium. Its description in RNAcentral is "partial 16S ribosomal RNA". It matches the Rfam family "Bacterial small subunit ribosomal RNA", at positions 28 to 507 of the family's 1533-position model. The record is from RNAcentral.
GAUGAACGCUGGCGGCGUGCCUAAUACAUGCAAGUCGAGCGAACGGACGAGAAGCUUGCUUCUCUGAUGUUAGCGGCGGACGGGUGAGUAACACGUGGAUAACCUACCUAUAAGACUGGGAUAACUUCGGGAAACCGUAGCUAAUACCGGAUAAUAUUUUGAACCGCAUGGUUCAAAAGUGAAAGACGGUCUUGCUGUCACUUAUAGAUGGAUCCGCGCUGCAUUAGCUAGUUGGUAAGGUAACGGCUUACCAAGGCAACGAUGCAUAGCCGACCUGAGAGGGUGAUCGGCCACACUGGAACUGAGACACGGUCCAGACUCCUACGGGAGGCAGCAGUAGGGAAUCUUCCGCAAUGGGCUAAAGCCUGACGGAGCAACGCCGCGUGAGUGAUGAAGGUCUUCGGAUCGUAAAACUCUGUUAUUAGGGAAGAACAUAUGUGUAAGUAACUGUGCACAUCUUGACGGUACCUAAUCAGAAAGCCACGGCUAACUACGUG